This 410-nucleotide ribosomal RNA is filed under the name uncultured microorganism. RNAcentral's name for it is "bacterial SSU rRNA". It matches the Rfam family "Bacterial small subunit ribosomal RNA", at positions 509 to 917 of the family's 1533-position model. The record is from RNAcentral.
CAGCCGCCGCGGUAAUACGUAGGGGGCGAGCGUUGUCCGGAAUUACUGGGCGUAAAGGGCGUGUAGGCGGCCUGUUAAGUCAGGGGUGAAAGACCGGGGCUCAACCCCGGGGGUGCCUCUGAAACUGGCGGGCUUGAGUGCUCUAGAGGGCAGUGGAAUUCCCGGUGUAGCAGUGAAAUGCGUAGAGAUCGGGAGGAACACCAGUGGCGAAGGCGGCUGCCUGGGGAGUCACUGACGCUGAGGCGCGAAAGCUAGGGGAGCAAGCAGGAUUAGAUACCCUGGUAGUCCUAGCCGUAAACGAUGAGCGCUAUGUGUGAGGGGUAUCGACCCCCCUCGUGCAGUAGCUAACGCAUUAAGCGCUCCGCCUGGGGAGUACGGCCGCAAGGUUGAAACUUAAAGGAAUUGGCGGG